AAGUUUCAAAUUGUCAAUUUCUUUUAUUUAGGAUGUAGAUUCACAUGGAGAGAGAAUUGAGAUCAUUUUGAGAAAGCUAGAUUUGAAGCACAUCUAAUUGGCAUGUAAUAAUGCUGAGAAUAGCAAAUUUUCCUUUGUGGCGUACUCAUAGAUGUAAAAAGCAUCAUGUAAUCAAAACUCAAAAUAACUGACAAUUUUUAUCCUAAAUUAUAUGCAUUGUCUUUUGCGGAAGUGGAGCUCUGUAGCAUCAUGGUUCACAUGAUUCUGUAGGCUAGAUUUGAAUUGGAAGUUAAAAUUGAUCAUGCUUUCCUCAAGUUGGAUAAUACCAUCUGGAGAGAUGGUAAAUAGUAGUAGUUAGUCAUAUUGGAAUUUGAGU
RNAcentral lists this unclassified non-coding RNA (376 nucleotides) under Hevea brasiliensis (rubber tree). Lineage: Eukaryota; Viridiplantae; Streptophyta; Magnoliopsida; Malpighiales; Euphorbiaceae. The record is from RNAcentral.